AACGAACGCUGGCGGCGCGCCUAAUACAUGCAAGUCGAGCGAGAAGACGUAGCAAUACGUUUGUAAAGCGGCGAACGGGUGAGGAAUACAUGGGCAACCUACCCUCGGGUGGGGAAUAACUAGCCGAAAGGUUAGCUAAUACCGCGUACGCUCCUUGGACUUCGGUUCAGGGAGGAAAGCGAUACCGUGGGUAUCGCGCUCUUGGAUGGGCUCAUGUCCUAUCAGCUUGUUGGUGAGGAACGGCUCACCAAGGCUUCGACGGGUAGCUGGUCUGAGAGGACGAUCAGCCACACUGGCACUGCGACACGGGCCAGACUCCUACGGGAGGCAGCAGUAAGGAAUAUUGCGCAAUGGGCGAAAGCCUGACGCAGCGACGCCGCGUGGGGGA
RNAcentral lists this ribosomal RNA (388 nucleotides) under uncultured bacterium. RNAcentral's name for it is "bacterial SSU rRNA". It matches the Rfam family "Bacterial small subunit ribosomal RNA", at positions 29 to 408 of the family's 1533-position model. The record is from RNAcentral.